GACGAACGCUGGCGGCGUGCUUAACACAUGCAAGUCGAACGGAAAGGCCCUGCUUUUGUGGGGUGCUCGAGUGGCGAACGGGUGAGUAACACGUGAGUAACCUGCCCUUGACUUUGGGAUAACUUCAGGAAACUGGGGCUAAUACCGGAUAGGAGCCCCUGCUGCAUGGUGGGGGUUGGAAAGUUUCGGCGGUUGGGGAUGGACUCGCGGCUUAUCAGCUUGUUGGUGGGGUAGUGGCUUACCAAGGGUUUGACGGGUAGCCGGCCUGGGAGGGUGACCGGCCACAUUGGGACUGAGAUACGGCCCAGACUCCUACGGGAGGCAGCAGUGGGGAAUAUUGCACAGUGGGCGGAAGCCUGAUGCAGCAACGCCGCGUGCGGGAUGACGGCCUUCGGGUUGUAAACCGCUUUCGCCUGUGACGAAGCGUGAGUGACGGUAAUGAGUAAAGAAGCACCGGCUAACUACGUG
RNAcentral lists this ribosomal RNA (468 nucleotides) under uncultured bacterium. Its description in RNAcentral is "partial 16S ribosomal RNA". It matches the Rfam family "Bacterial small subunit ribosomal RNA", at positions 28 to 507 of the family's 1533-position model. The record is from RNAcentral.